AACGAACGCUGGCGGCGUGGAUAAGACAUGCAAGUCGAGCGCUGAUUACAGGGUAGCAAUAUUCUGUAGUUGGAGCGGCGCAAGGGUGCGUAACACGUGGGUAAUCUGCCAUGAAGUUUGGAAUAACUCGCUGAAAGGCGAGCUAAUGCCGGAUGUGAAAGCUGGGAGGCAUCUCUUGGUUUUCAAAGCUGGGGACCGUAAGGCCUGGCGCUUCAUGAUGAGCCCGCGGCCUAUCAGCUAGUUGGUAAGGUAACGGCUUACCAAGGCUAAGACGGGUAGCUGGUCUGAGAGGACGACCAGCCACACUGGAACUGAGACACGGUCCAGACACCUACGGGUGGCAGCAGUCGAGAAUUUUUCACAAUGGGCGCAAGCCUAAUGGAGCGACGCCGCGUGGGGGAUGAAUGGCUUCGGCCCGUAAACCCCUGUCAUUUGCGAUCAAACGUUAUUGUUUAAGAGAUGAUAACCUGAUAGUAGCGAAAGAGGAAGGGACGGCUAACUCUGUGCCAGCAGCCGCGGUAAUACAGAGGUCCCAAGCGUUGUUCGGAUUCACUGGGCGUAAAGGG
RNAcentral lists this ribosomal RNA (566 nucleotides) under uncultured bacterium. RNAcentral's name for it is "bacterial SSU rRNA". It matches the Rfam family "Bacterial small subunit ribosomal RNA", at positions 28 to 567 of the family's 1533-position model. The record is from RNAcentral.